This 1038-nucleotide long non-coding RNA is filed under the name Panax ginseng (ginseng). RNAcentral's name for it is "long non-coding RNA (PGIN_LNC007887)". The record is from RNAcentral. Lineage: Eukaryota; Viridiplantae; Streptophyta; Magnoliopsida; Apiales; Araliaceae.
AUUUAAAAAAAAAUAUUAAAAUACUAAUUAAAAAAUACUAAAAAAAUCAAAUUACAAAAAUACUAAAAUUCAAAUUAUUUUAUUAAUUAAAAAAAUACUAAAAUUAUUUUACUAAAUAUUACUAAAUAAUUAGUAAAUUAUUUUACUAAUUAUUUUACUAAAAUACUAAAAUCUCUCCAAAUUCUAUCUCUCUGUUAAAUCUAGAAACCAAAAGCAACAACCUCUCCAAAUUCUAUCUCUGUCAAAUCUAGAAACCCAAAAACAACAAUCCAAAUCAAAUCUAAAAUUAUGCAUCCAUUUCUUCUGGAUCUCCUUCUCUUUCUCCUAAUCCCCAUCUCCAAAAGCAACUCUCUACCCACCACCGCCGACCGAACUUCUGCCACCACCGCCGCCCUCCGCAACCAACUCUCUACCCACUUUUCGGCCAACAUUUUCUCUCGAUCUCAUCGUUCCCAACAAACCUUUUGAUGAUGAUGACGAAUACAAAAAUUAUGAUGAUGAUGAUGUUCGGGUUAAGGUUUGAGAUAGGAACGAGCCAUGAGGGUUUGAGAGAGCAACAACAAAAGGAGCAGAUCUGAUACGAAAAUUUUGGAUCUUCUUCUUCCUUUGUUCUUCGUUCUUCUAUCAUUAAUGAAUAUUUGAUUGCAAAUCCAGAUCUGAGUUUGAUACCUUCAUUAUUUGGAUGUUAGUUCGAAAAUAAAUGUUAAAAAUAUCCAGAUCUGAUUUAUUUUUCAAGAAUAAAAAUUUUCUCAAUCUAGAUCUAGAUUUCUGGUGUACUCAAAAUUUUUUGAUUUGAGAUUAUUGGUUGUGCUUCGAGUAAAAUUUCAGGUACUCGUUGAUAGUACUUUGGGCGGAGUGGGGGUUGGUGGUGGGUUGACGGUGGCGGAGUGUUGGUUGAUGGUGUUAGGAUUUUGCAAACUAGGAAUUCAUCAAGAGGAAGAAGACUGUAAUUUUUGAAUUAAUUAAUUCAAUUGGAUGAAUUUUUGUGACUUAUUUGUUGUUAAUAAAUUAAAUAUAAAUAUAAAUAUUUAUUCUGUU